AGAAGGAUGACGCAGUGGUUAACGUACCUGCCUAGUAAGCAGGAGGUCCCGGGUUCGAAUCCCGGGCGAUACCCAUUUUUUUU
Molecule: non-coding RNA, 83 nt
Organism: Schistocerca americana (American grasshopper)
Lineage: Eukaryota; Metazoa; Arthropoda; Insecta; Orthoptera; Acrididae
Source: the annotation of a RefSeq genome assembly